GAAGAAACCGAAGAUGAUCACAGUCCUGGCUGUCAGUUUUCUGCUCCUGUUCUACAUUGAUACAAUUGAAUCUCUCCAGUGCAAUUAUUGUCGAAAAGUUGACAUUGAUAACAAAUGCAGUCAUGUGGAAAAAUCUUGCAGUGCAGGAAAAAGUAAAUUCUGCUAUACUCGGAUGGUUGUUAGAGGGGGCCGUUUGCAACGCGUGGAGCGAGGUUGCAGCAUGAAGUGCCGCACCAUGAGGUUCAGGAGUCGCCGUAAACUGGAAGAGUACAUGCUGUGCUGCGACACGGAGCGCUGCAACCAGCACAAGGUCUGGAAUGGGAGAACAAAAGGCUAAGGCGGACCGUCUGGACACGAAGCAGCCACAGAACUAUCCGCGGUGGCCGCAGCAACAGAUGCAUCGCACGUCCUUUCCUCAGACUUUUUUUACUUGAUUGCUUUGCAUAGGUCUUCC
Molecule: long non-coding RNA, 454 nt
Filed under: Salvator merianae (Argentine black and white tegu)
Lineage: Eukaryota; Metazoa; Chordata; Lepidosauria; Squamata; Teiidae
Description: lncRNA (ENSSMRG00000009010.1)
Source: RNAcentral